This 235-nucleotide ribosomal RNA is filed under the name uncultured Actinomycetales bacterium. RNAcentral describes it as "partial 16S ribosomal RNA". It matches the Rfam family "Bacterial small subunit ribosomal RNA", at positions 96 to 334 of the family's 1533-position model. The record is from RNAcentral. Lineage: Bacteria; Bacillati; Actinomycetota; Actinomycetes; Actinomycetales.
UGGCGAACGGGUGAGUAACAUGUGGGUGAUCUGCCCUGCACUUCGGGAUAAGCCUGGGAAACUGGGUCUAAUACCGGAUAGGACGAUGGUUUGGAUGCCAUUGUGGAAAGUUUUUUCGGUGUGGGAUGAGCUCGCGGCCUAUCAGCUUGUUGGUGGGGUAAUGGCCUACCAAGGCGACGACGGGUAGCCGGCCUGAGAGGGUGUACGGCCACAUUGGGACUGAGACACGGCCCAG